CAAAUAGGCCACCUACGAAGCCACCAAAACGAGCAGCUCAUAAAAAAACCAGAAAGGGCCUGGUAAACCAAAAAAUGUUUUCUUUAUUUCCACCUCUGAUUCCAAACCCCUUUCAGCCACCACCAGCAAUACUUCCUCCCAUCAUCCCUUCGCCACCGCCUUCAAUAUUUCCUCCUUUCUUCCCAUCACCUCCGCCUUCAAUAUUUCCUCCUGUUUUUCCGACCCCUCCACAGCCACCACCUUCAAUAUUUCCUCCAUUUUUCCCUGCACCACCAGUAGCACCUCCUCCAUCAAUAUUUCCUCCACUCUUCCCUCCAAUACCGGGAUUUAGUCCUCCGGUGGUGAUGCCACCACCGCCACCGCCACCAGUCUUCCCAUUUCUUCCACCAGGAUUCCCCGGAGUGCCGCCAGUGGCAAGGUCAAGUCAUUCAGAAGAGACAAAACAUCCUUAAUUAAAUGAAAGUCACAUGCA
RNAcentral lists this long non-coding RNA (472 nucleotides) under Daucus carota (carrot). Its description in RNAcentral is "long non-coding RNA (DCAR_LNC005182)". The record is from RNAcentral. Lineage: Eukaryota; Viridiplantae; Streptophyta; Magnoliopsida; Apiales; Apiaceae.